RNAcentral lists this ribosomal RNA (490 nucleotides) under uncultured bacterium. Its description in RNAcentral is "partial 16S ribosomal RNA". It matches the Rfam family "Bacterial small subunit ribosomal RNA", at positions 29 to 507 of the family's 1533-position model. The record is from RNAcentral.
AAUGAACGCUGGCGGCAUGCCUUACACAUGCAAGUCGAACGGCAGCAUGACCUCGCUUGCUAGGUUGAUGGCGAGUGGCGGACGGGUGAGUAAUGCAUCGGAACGUGCCUUUUAGUGGAUGAUAACGUGACGAUAGUUCCGCUACUACCGCGUAUUCUCUGCUGCGGAGAGCAGGUGGCCUUCGGUCCUUGCGCUAGAAGGGCCGCCGAGGUCGGAUUAGCUGGUUGGUGGGGUAAAGGCUCACCAAGGGAAAGAUCCGUAGAGGGUCUGAGAGGAUGAUAGGCGACACUGGGACUGAGACACGGCCCAGAGUCCUAAGGGAGGCAGCAGUGGGGAAUGUUGGACAAUGGGCGCAAGCAUGAUCCAGCGAGGCGGCGUGAGUGAAGAAGGCCUUCGGGUUGUAAAGCUCGUUCGGGUGGGAAGAAAUCGCACUGGCUAAUACAGGGUGUGGAUGACGGUACCAGCAUAAGAAGCACCGGCUAACUACGUG